UACGUAGGGGGCGAGCGUUGUCCGGAAUUAUUGGGCGUAAAGGGCUCGUAGGCGGUUUGUCGCGUCGGGAGUGAAAACCAGGUGCUUAACACCUGGCUUGCUUUCGAUACGGGCAGACUAGAGGUAUUCAGGGGAGAACGGAAUUCCUGGUGUAGCGGUGAAAUGCGCAGAUAUCAGGAGGAACACCGGUGGCGAAGGCGGUUCUCUGGGAAUGACCUGACGCUGAGGAGCGAAAGUGUGGGGAGCGAACAGG
RNAcentral lists this ribosomal RNA (253 nucleotides) under uncultured bacterium. RNAcentral describes it as "partial 16S ribosomal RNA". It matches the Rfam family "Bacterial small subunit ribosomal RNA", at positions 524 to 776 of the family's 1533-position model. The record is from RNAcentral.